Anguilla anguilla (European eel) is the source of this 129-nucleotide long non-coding RNA. RefSeq lists it as uncharacterized. Lineage: Eukaryota; Metazoa; Chordata; Actinopteri; Anguilliformes; Anguillidae. The record is from RefSeq and is a predicted model, not a curated record. The transcript is spliced from 3 exons.
CAGCUAGCCAGGGAAAGGAGAAAGACAGCAGAUCUGCAGAGAAGGCUGGAUGCACUGAAUGAAAAGUUGGCUCAAUGUUCCCAGACAUCUUAUUGGGCACUAGAUGCCACUGCUCAGGGAAGUGUUCAG